GCGCUAAUCAGCACUCUGUAAAAACAGACCAAUCAGCACUCUGUAAAACAGACCAAUCAGCGCUCUGUAAAAUGGACCAAUCAGCAGGAUGUGGGUGGGGCCAAAUAAGGGAAUAAAAGCUGGCCACCCGGGCCAGCAGCAGCAACCUGCUCAGGUCCCCUUCCAUGGUGUGGAAGCUUUGUUCUUUCGCUGUUCACAAUGAAUCUUGCUGCUGCUCACUCUUUGGGUCCGCACUAGCUUUAUGAGCUGUAACGCUCACUGCGAAGGUCUGUGGCUUCACUCCUGAAGUCAGCAAGACCACGAACCCACCGGAAGGAGGAAACAACUCCGGAAGCACCACGUUUAAGAGCUGUAACACUCACUGCGAAAGUCUGCAGCUUCACUCCUGAAGUCAGCAAGACCACAAACCCACCGGAAGGAAGAAAUUCCAGACACAUCUAAACAUUGGAAGGAACAAACUCCAGACACACUAUCUUUAAGAACUGUAACACUCACCGCGAGGGUCUGUGGCUUCAUGCUUGAAGUCAGCCGGACCAAGAACCCACCGGAAAGAACCAAUUCCUGACACAAUCAGACAGAGAAUGCUGAUUCACUAUGCAGUGAAACAUGCCUAACGUGUCAACAGCUAAAUGCCCGGUGACAGUGUGGUUGUCUGGGCAACAGAAGAAGUCACCCACGCAAACACUUAAAGGACCAUACUUAUUUUACAAGAGGAACAGUUUUCAAUGGAAUGGAUAUUAAAACACACACCUGGAUCCCUUUACCACAGGUGCUUUGAGAGGCACCAUCAAGGACAGUGAGCUAACGCAGGUAACUCAGGUAACAGGGCGGUGAGCUAAUGCAGGUAACACAGGUGACAGAGUCAUGGGCUAAUACAGGUAACACAGGGUAGUGAGUUAACUCAAGUAAUAUAGCUAAGCCAGGUAACCCAGCUUACACAGCCAACACCUGGCAGUGGGCUAACACAGUUAACUCAGGUGCUCACCUCGGGCACAUCCCCAAGGCCCCUCGUGAGGUGGUCUGAUGGCUGUCUACAUGUGCCCCUGGACAUCUGUAUCCUGAUGCAGGGGAGCCUGGCAGGAGAGGGGACCCUCAGACUCUCCCUCAGCCACACAGGGCAGACAUCCUCCACGUGGCUUCAGCUGCAGCUGUCAAUUGAGUGGUGGGCAAGGCCAUGCUCUGGAUAGUCUACCUGGUCCUCGGUGAGGCCCAGCCCCACUGACAAGCAUUUGGGGUCUGUUUAAUUGCUCAGCCUGUCUGCUGCUAUUUGUCACAUGCUAGUAUUGGUGUGGCAGCUUCUUCU
This 1303-nucleotide long non-coding RNA is filed under the name Homo sapiens (human). Its description in RNAcentral is "HSALNT0340656". The record is from RNAcentral. Lineage: Eukaryota; Metazoa; Chordata; Mammalia; Primates; Hominidae.